Molecule: small nuclear RNA, 115 nt
Organism: Podarcis muralis (Common wall lizard)
Lineage: Eukaryota; Metazoa; Chordata; Lepidosauria; Squamata; Lacertidae
Gene: U1
Rfam family: U1 spliceosomal RNA
About the family: U1 is a small nuclear RNA (snRNA) component of the spliceosome (involved in pre-mRNA splicing). Its 5' end forms complementary base pairs with the 5' splice junction, thus defining the 5' donor site of an intron. There are significant differences in sequence and secondary structure between metazoan and yeast U1 snRNAs, the latter being much longer (568 nucleotides as compared to 164 nucleotides in human).
Source: Ensembl
GCAAAGAUAAUACUUAACCUGACCAUGAAAGAGGUUUUCCCAGGGUGAGGCUCAUCCAUUGCACUGCAGGUGUGCUGCCCCCUGUGAUUUCCCCAAAUGCGGGAAACUCAACUGC